Long non-coding RNA from Halichondria panicea, 818 nucleotides. RefSeq lists it as uncharacterized. The transcript has 2 exons. NCBI's taxonomy places the organism in Eukaryota, Metazoa, Porifera, Demospongiae, Suberitida, Halichondriidae. The record is from RefSeq and is a predicted model, not a curated record.
CUCUUUGGACACACCCUUUAAUCAUUCCUAUGGAUGUAAUGCGCAUGCGCGCUCAAUCCCCACGUGUGAGAAAUAAUAUCCAAGAUCCAGAUCCAGAUCCUCCUGGCAGAAUCAUCUUUGUCUUGAAGGCCUGGUAAGCCACAAAACACUACCAUAUAACAAUAUACUAAUCAGAUAACAAUAAUUAUGCAUGUACACAGGUAGGGUUUCCACAUGAAAAUUAAAAGUCAACAAAUGAGGCUCAAAUUUUUGUUGCACACUACACUACAUGAAAGUAUAAUGGUUGCACCUUCAAAUCCAAAAUUUCGCUACUCUUAUUCUAGCAAUGGUGCUCUUUAUUUCACAACAUUUCUCUCAAAGGUCAAAGCCAAAGGUCAUUGUGAUCUCUAAUAAAAUGUGAUUUUCAAACUGUGGAUGAAAGCUAUGACUCUCCUUUUGCUUUGCAUCCAUUCCUAUACUAACUAGUAGUGUGUGGAUCACCCCAAACUGGAGAAAGGAUUCUCACAGGUGCGAAGCAGAAGGUUUCGAGGUAUCAUCCUACAGUGUCAAGAUCAAUCUACCUGCUCAACAAUACAACACAGUAAUACAGCAUAAAGUGUGUCUAUUCUUCCGAAAACAAAGUCAGAACUGGAUCACCUAGCUAUUAAAAUACUGUUGGAGCAGGAAUUUAGGAUUAAAUUAUUUCACGUUUGUGUUCCGAUUUCAUGGUAUUUCAAUUAAAAAUACAAGAAUGAAUACUGGUACUAACUACUUUACAUACAAAAAGAAGUAAAAUCUUAUUUUGAUAUUGUUUAAAGAGUGUUGUAUCAUUGAGCAGG